This 3443-nucleotide long non-coding RNA is filed under the name Homo sapiens (human). RNAcentral's name for it is "non-protein coding lnc-ZSCAN23-1:1". The stretch from base 1669 to 1734 matches the Rfam family "mir-1255 microRNA precursor family". The record is from RNAcentral. Lineage: Eukaryota; Metazoa; Chordata; Mammalia; Primates; Hominidae.
GGCCUCUCAGUGUUCACGUGAAAGGAAGAGUCUCACAUCUCUCUCUUUAAAUUAAAAGCUAGAAAUGAUUAAGCUUAGUGAGGAAGACAUGUUGAAAGCUGAGAUAGGUUGAAAGCUAGGCCUCUUGUACCAAACAGCCAGUUGUGAAUGCAAAGGAAAAGUUCUUGAAGGAAGUAAAACCACUCCACUGAACACAUGAGUGAUAAGAAACCAAAACAGCUUUAUUGCUGAUACGGAGAAAGUUUGAGUGAUCUGGAAAGAAGAUCAAACCAGCCACAACAUGCCUUUAAGCCACAGCCUAAUCCACAGCAGGGUCCUAACUUUCUUCAAUUCUGUGACGGCUGAGAGAGAUGAGGAAGCUGCAGAAGAAAAGUUAGAAGCUAGCAGAGGUUGCUUCAUGAGGUUUAAGGAAAGAAGCUGUCUCCACAACAUAACAGUGCAAAGUGAAGCAGCAAAUGUUAGUGUAGACACUGCAGCAAGUUAUUCAGAAAACCUAGCUAAGAUAGUGGAUGAAGGUGGCUAUACUAAACAACAUAUUUUUAAUGUAGAUGAAACACUUUAUAUUGGAAGAAGAUACCAUCUUGGACUUCCAUAACUAGAGAGAAGUCAGUGCCUGGCUUCAAAGGACAGUCUGCCUUUCUUGAUAGGAGCUAAUGGAGCUGGUGACUUGAAGUUGAAGCCAAUGCUCAUUUACUAAGCUGAAAAUCCUAGAGUCCUUAAGGAUCAUGCUGGCUGGGCAUGCUGUAAUCCUAGCACAUUGAGAGGCCAAGUCAGGAGGAUUGCUGAGCCCAGGAGUUUGAGACUAGCCUGGGCAACAUGGAAAAACCCUGUCUCUACAAAAAAAUACAAAAAUUAGCUGGGUGUGGUGGUACACACCUGUGGUCCCAGCUACUAGGGAGGCUAAGGUGGGUAGAUUGCUUGAGCCUGGGAAGCAGAGGUUGCAGUGAGCCAAGAUUGUGCCACUGCACUCCAGCCUGGGUAACAGAGAAAGACCCUGUCUCAAACAAACACACAAACAAACAAAAAGAAUCAUGCUAAAUCUACUCUGCCUGUGCUCUAGAAAUGGAACAACAAAGCCUGGACGAUAGCACAUUUAUUUACAGCAUGGUUUACUGAAUAUUUUAAGCCCACUGUUGAGACCUACUGCUCAGAAGAAAAAAAGAUUCCUUUCGAAAUAUUACUGCUCAUUGACAAUGCACCGAGUCACUGAAGAGCUCUGAGGGAGAUGUGCAAAAAGGUUAAUAUUGUUUUCAUGCCUGCUAACACAGCUAACCAUUCCACAGCCCACAGAUCAAGGAGUAAUUUCAACUUUCAAGUCUUAUUAUUUAAGAAAUACAUUUUGUAAGGGUAUAGCUGCCAUAGAUAGUGAUUCCUCUGAUGGAUCUGAGCAAAGUACAUUGAAAACCUUCUGGAGAGGAUUCACAUUCUAGAUGCAAUUAAGAACAUUUGUGAUUCAUGGGAGGAGAUCAAAAUAUCAACAUGAACAGGAGUUUGGAAGAAGUUGAUUCCCAUCCUCAUGGAUGACUUUCACAGGUUCAAGACUUCAGUGGAGGAAAUAACUGUAGAUAUAGUGGAAAUAGCAAGAGAACUAGAAUUAGAAGUGUAGCCUGAAGAUGUGACAGAAUUGCUGCAUUCUUAUGAUAAAAUUUGAAUGGAUGAGAAGUUGCUUCUUAUGGAUGAGUAAAGAAAGUGGUUUCUUAGGAUGAAAUCUACUCCUGGGGAAGAUGCUGUGAAAUUGUUGAAAUAACAGCAAAGAAUUUAGAAUGUCACAUAAACUUGACUGAUAAAGCAGUGGCAGAGUUUGAGAGGAUUGACUCCAACUUUGAGAGUUCUGUGGGUAAAAUGCUAUUAAACAGCAUCACAUACCACAGAGAAAUAGUUCAUGAAAGGAAGAAUCAACUGAUGCAGCAAACUUCAGUGUUGUCAUGUUUUAAGAAAUUGCCACAGCCACCUGAGCCUUCAGCAGUUAUCACCCUAAUCAGCCAUGAGUCAGCAGACAUUAAGCCAUUCACUCAGUAAAUAUGUUCCAGUUUGGAGCUGAUCUCAACAAUGAUGUGUUAUGCCUUAGCAUCAGCCUGAAGCAUACGCACUGCUGCAGUGAGCCAGUCUUCUGAGCUGUUUCACCCAGGAAUGCAUUCAGACCAACUGCAGAAGAAUGAAAGAAGUGUCAAAUAGUUAAAGAAUCUAGCCCACACAGAAAGGGAGCUUCUGGUCAGGAGUUCUUCAGAGAGGAUAUGGUGGGUAUUUACUUGGGCCUCAAGGGUCCAGCUUCAGGUUCUUUGCCAUCAGUGGUGGAGACCAGUGAUACACAGCAAGGAACACGUCUUGGAACUACUGAUCCUGACCAUCCUGCCCAAGAACUCCAGGCCUGGGUAUAGGAGCAUCCCAGAGUAUAGGAAAGAGGCUGUCUGUACUGAAGAACUUGGAGAGGAAGCUGAAUGAUCUGAGAGGAAAGGUAAAAUGAAGAAAUGUCUUAUCAGAUAGCAGAUAUUAUCUCCAGAGAGAGAUAAGAGAGUUGAGAUAACUUCUCUAGCGUAGUUAGAGAAAAUGGCUAACAUGUUAUUGGCCAGAGUUAUUUAUUUUUGUUCUAGUUUGGUGAGUUUUUUUUAACUUGUAGGCCCUGUGUAUUUUCCCCUCUUUGUCUGUGUAUCCCUGCCCUUGCAGAUGACAGAAAACUGCUUUCUGCCCUCCCAUCGUGUGUUCCACAGUAAUAAUGGGAUUUUAAGCUCUAACUUUCAGCAAAUGUCACCCUCAUUAAACUCCAUCUAAUUGUGCCCAGUUCCCCACCCUCCUACAGGGGACAAGAAGUGUCCCAACGCAAAUAGUGUAUCUGGCAGCCUCAUAGGACUCAACUGGAGUCCGGCUCCAGCCAGUAAAGGGUCAACUCAGCUCUGAAUGUUGGGAGUUUCACACUGUUAAGGAGAACGCUGAGGAGGAGAUAGCAAAGAAGAAGUUAGGAAAUGUUGGUGUCUUUUUGCAUUUUUCCAAAUGAACCUUGUCACUAAAAUCUCUGCAUACCUUUCAUUUAAUCUCUAUUGCCUAUUCCACUUUUAACCUGUUCCUCUAAGCAUACCACUUUAGCCUGGAUUAUGAUUCUUUUCUUUCUUCACUUCUUUGCCUUAAAAUUGUUUUUUUUAAAAAAUCCUGCUACUCAUGUUACCUUGCAUGGUUCAGUUUCUCCCUUCUAAUACUGCCAACUUCCUUAACCCAGACCUCUUAUCGCAAAGACAGGAGAAUGUUUUUCUAUAUUGAAGCCAAUAGAAAACUACUAAAAGGCUACAUGCAAUUAGUAAAUUUUUAAAUGUACAUUUUUUAAAUGAGUGUAGGAAACAUAAAACUUUAGUAGGUGCAUGCUUACUGGGAAAGCACGCAUGCAUGCUAAAAUGUCAUUGUACAGUACAUAUUGUUUACCACUUGUUUUUUAGUUUAAUAUUACAUUAUGG